CCUACGGGAGGCAGCAGUGAGGAAUUUUCCGCAAUGGGCGAAAGCCUGACGGAGCAAUGCCGCGUGGAGGAGGAAGGCCUGUGGGUCGUAAACUCCUUUUCUCAGAGAAGAAGUUCUGACGGUAUCUGAGGAAUAAGCAUCGGCUAACUCUGUGCCAGCAGCCGCGGUAAUACAGGGGAUGCGAGCGUUAUCCGGAAUUAUUGGGCGUAAAGCGUCCUGAGGUGGCUUACCCAGUCGACUGUGAAAGCUCAAGGCUUAACCUUGAAACGGCAGUCGAAACUUGUAAGCUUGAGUACGGUAGGGGCAGAGGGAAUUCCCGGAGGAGAGGUGAAAUUCGUAGAUAUCGGGAGGAAGGCCAAAGGCGAAAGCACUCUGCUGGGCCGAUUACUGACACUGACAGACGAAAGCUAGGGGAGCGAAAGGGAUUAGAUACCCCUGUAGUCCUAGCCGUAAACGAUGGAUACUAAGUGUUGCGCGACUCAAAACGUGCAGUGCUGCAGCUAACGCGGUAAGUAUCCCGCCUGGGGAGUAUGCCCGCAAGGGUGAAACUUAAAUGAAUUGACGG
RNAcentral lists this ribosomal RNA (565 nucleotides) under uncultured bacterium. RNAcentral's name for it is "bacterial SSU rRNA". It matches the Rfam family "Bacterial small subunit ribosomal RNA", at positions 338 to 916 of the family's 1533-position model. The record is from RNAcentral.